Molecule: ribosomal RNA, 599 nt
Filed under: uncultured fungus
Lineage: Eukaryota; Fungi
Description: SSU rRNA
Rfam family: Eukaryotic small subunit ribosomal RNA
Source: RNAcentral
GCUACCACAUCCAAGGAAGGCAGCAGGCGCGCAAAUUACCCAAUCCUGACACAGGGAGGCAGUGACAAUAUAUAACGAUACAGGGCCAUUGGUCCUGUAAUUGGAAUGAGUACAAUGUAAAUACCUUAACGAGGAACAAUUGGAGGGCAAGUCUGGUGCCAGCAGCCGCGGUAAUUCCAGCUCCAAUAGCGUAUAUUAAAGUUGUUGCAGUUAAAAAGCUCGUAGUUGAAGUUUGGGCCUGGGCGGGCGGUCUACCUAUGGUGAGUACUGCUGCGGCCGGGUCUUUCCUUCUGGCUAGCCCUUGUGGCGAACCAGGACGAUUACUUUGAGGAAAUUAGAGUGUUCAAAGCAGGCCUUUGCUCGAAUAUAUUAGCAUGGAAUAAUAGAAUAGGACGUAUGGUUCUAUUUUGUUGGUUUCUAGGACCAUCGUAAUGAUUAAUAGGGACGGUCGGGGGCAUCAGUAUUCAGUUGUCAGAGGUGAAAUUCUUGGAUUAACUGAAGACUAACUACUGCGAAAGCAUUUGCCAAGGACGUUUUCAUUAAUCAAGAACGAAAGUUAGGGGAUCGAAGAUGAUUAGAUACCGUCGUAGUCUUAACCA